UCGAGAAUCUUCGGCAAUGGGCGCAAGCCUGACCGAGCGACGCCGCGUGGAGGACGAAGGCCUUCGGGUUGUAAACUCCUGUCGAGGGGGAAGAAGGGUCGCAAGACCUUGACUGAUCCCUGGAGGAAGCACGGGCUAAGUUCGUGCCAGCAGCCGCGGUAAGACGAACCGUGCGAACGUUAUUCGGAAUCACUGGGCUUAAAGCGCGUGUAGGCGGAUGAGCACGUCUGUCGCUGAAAUCCCCCGGCUCAACCGGGGAACGGGCGCGGAUACGACGAGCCUGGAGGGGCAUAGGGGGACCUGGAACUUCCGGUGGAGCGGUGAAAUGCGUUGAGAUCGGAAGGAACGCCCGUGGCGAAAGCGAGGUCCUGGAUGCCUACUGACGCUGAGACGCGAAAGCCAGGGGAGCGAACG
Molecule: ribosomal RNA, 414 nt
Filed under: uncultured Singulisphaera sp.
Lineage: Bacteria; Pseudomonadati; Planctomycetota; Planctomycetia; Isosphaerales; Isosphaeraceae
Description: bacterial SSU rRNA
Rfam family: Bacterial small subunit ribosomal RNA
Source: RNAcentral